AAGUCGUAACAAGGUUUCCGUAGGUGAACCUGCGGAAGGAUCAUUAUCGAGUUAGGGUCCGUUGGGCCCGAUCUCCAACCCUGUGUUUAAUUACCACGUUGCUUUGGCGGGCCCGUCUCACGACCGCCGGGGGUCUCUGGACCUCUGGCCCGUGCCCGUCAAUGGCCCCCUUAAACUCUUGACCAAACAUUGAUGUCUGAGUAACAAACUUAAUAGUUUAAAA
This 223-nucleotide unclassified non-coding RNA is filed under the name plant metagenome. Its description in RNAcentral is "partial contains small subunit ribosomal RNA and internal transcribed spacer 1". The stretch from base 1 to 46 matches the Rfam family "Eukaryotic small subunit ribosomal RNA", at positions 1786 to 1831 of the family's 1831-position model. The record is from RNAcentral.